Molecule: ribosomal RNA, 517 nt
Filed under: Beauveria bassiana
Lineage: Eukaryota; Fungi; Ascomycota; Sordariomycetes; Hypocreales; Cordycipitaceae
Description: eukaryotic LSU rRNA
Rfam family: 5.8S ribosomal RNA (bases 154-308)
Source: RNAcentral
ACUCCUAACCCUUCUGUGACCUACCUAUCGUUGCUUUCGGCGGACUCGCCCCAGCCCGGACGCGGACUGGGACCAGCGGCCCGCCGGGGACCUCAAACUCUUGGUAUUCCAGCAUCUUCUGAAUACGCCGCAAGAGCAAAACAAAUGAAUCAAAACUUUCAACAACGGAUCUCUUGGGCUCUGGCAUCGAUGAAGAACGCAGCGAAAUGCGAUAAGUAAUGUGAAUUGCAGAAUCCAGUGAAUCAUCGAAUCUUUGAACGCACAUUGCGCCCGCCAGCAUUCUGGCGGGCAUGCCUGUUCGAGCGUCAUUUCAACCCUCGACCUCCCCUGGGGGAGGUCGGCGUUGGGGACCGGCAGCACACCGCCGGCCCUGAAAUGGAGUGGGCGGCCCGUCCGCGGCGACCUCUGCGUAGUAAUACAGCUCGCACCGGAACCCCGACGCGGCCACGCCGUAAAACACCCAACUUCUGAACGUUGACCUCGAAUCAGGUAGGACUACCCGCUGAACUUAAGCUAC